AGACAACUGAUUAGAAAGACAGAAGAAAAUCAAGAAUUCAGAAGUGACAGAGAAACUCACAGUGAUUGUCAUCGGGGAAGAAGCCAUGGAGAAACACAUGGACAUUUCUCUGCAAUGUUUGUAGUUUCAAGACAAGUGUCGAUAACCUCAGCAGCAGUUACUCGAUGGAGAAGAUUCUGGAUGCUAUCCACCCAUGUCUGCUUAUCAGCCUUGCUCUUGCACUUGAACUUUGUUAGACCUUUCCCUGUACUAAUUCCGAAAUAGAGCUCUUCUUCUGUGUUUUCCAUUUCUUUUCCAUUUUGCAGGCCUGAGACUUUCUCGCGUACAUCAUUUACAAUGCCUGUAGUGAUUCAACCACUGGAUUAUUGUAAAGCAUUGGACAAAGUUUCAAGAUCACUCUGGUUAUACAAAUGAACACCAUGAACAUUGAAAGAAAGAAGAGUAGCUUACUAACCUUUGCUUUUCAUGGAGAAUGCUCCUACAACAUGUUUGCUUUUGAUUUCUACUACGACCUGCAAAAAAGAAAACGAGCAAAAGUCAACUCUAGAAUCCAACCAGCAUAUAGUUUUUUUGCUCCAA
Long non-coding RNA from Arabidopsis lyrata subsp. lyrata, 579 nucleotides. RefSeq lists it as uncharacterized. The transcript is spliced from 2 exons. NCBI's taxonomy places the organism in Eukaryota, Viridiplantae, Streptophyta, Magnoliopsida, Brassicales, Brassicaceae. The record is from RefSeq and is a predicted model, not a curated record.